AGAUGGUCAGACAGGAAGAAGAGCCAGAUCCAGCAUGGUUUUAAUAGCCACAGGAUCCUACUGCACCUACUCUUUCAUACGGUUGCAUAAAGAAGCCAUUUUUGAUGUGAAGAUCAUUCUAUCCAGAUUUGGCAACUUUCUUCACACAAAUUGGAGCCUACUGAAGAUGGACCUGCCACUUCUAACCUACUUCUCAAGAUCUCCAGCAGACCUCCUUGAAUAGGAUUCUACAAGCUGAGAAGGAAAACCAGCUCUGAGGGAAGAUCCCGUGCUGUCUAAAGGAAGCUACCCAGGAAGAAAAAUGAGAAUAAUUAAAACCCUAAAUCUGUACAAGAAACAUUCACAGCUGAGACUCUCAGCCAAGAACAGAGAUAAUGCUAAUGAUU
Long non-coding RNA from Mastomys coucha (southern multimammate mouse), 386 nucleotides. RefSeq lists it as uncharacterized. The transcript has 3 exons. The record is from RefSeq and is a predicted model, not a curated record. NCBI's taxonomy places the organism in Eukaryota, Metazoa, Chordata, Mammalia, Rodentia, Muridae.